GGGGGGGGUGAGCGUUGUUCGGAAUUACUGGGCGUAAAGGGCUCGUAGGCGGCCAACUAAGUCAGACGUGAAAUCCCUCAGCUUAACUGGGGAACUGCGUCUGAUACUGGAUGGCUUGGAUUCGGGAGAGGGAUGCGGAAUUCCAGGUGUAGCGGUGAAAUGCGUAGAUAUCUGGAGGAACACCGGUGGCGAAGGCGGCAUCCUGGACCGAUAUUGACGCUGAGGAGCGAAGGCCAGGGGAGCAAACGGGAUUAGAUACCCCGGUAGUCCUGGCCCUAAACGAUGAAUGCUUGGUGUGGCGGGUAUCGAUCCCUGCCGUGCCGAAGCUAACGCAUUAGGCAUUCCGCCUGGGGAGUACGGUCGCAAGGCUG
Molecule: ribosomal RNA, 371 nt
Filed under: uncultured bacterium
Lineage: Bacteria
Description: bacterial SSU rRNA
Rfam family: Bacterial small subunit ribosomal RNA
Source: RNAcentral